This 428-nucleotide ribosomal RNA is filed under the name uncultured bacterium. RNAcentral describes it as "bacterial SSU rRNA". It matches the Rfam family "Bacterial small subunit ribosomal RNA", at positions 9 to 439 of the family's 1533-position model. The record is from RNAcentral.
GAGUUUGAUCGUGGCUCAGGACGAACGCUGGCGGCGCGCCUAAUACAUGCAAGUCGAGCGAGAACCAGGGCUUAGGCCCUGGGAGAGCGGCGAACGGGUGCGUAUCACGUGAGCAACCUGCCUCGGAGACCGGAAUAACUCGAGGAAACUCGGGCUAAUGCCGGAUGCCCUCGGUGGACCGCAUGGUCCGGCGAGGAAAUGGAUUCCGCUCCGAGAUGGGCUCGCGGCCUAUCAGCUUGUUGGUGGGGUAACGGCCUACCAAGGCAACGACGGGUAGCUGGUCUGAGAGGACGAUCAGCCACACUGGGACUGAGACACGGCCCAGACUCCUACGGGAGGCAGCAGUAGGGAAUCUUGCGCAAUGGGGGAAACCCUGACGCAGCGACGCCGCGUGCGGGAUGAAGGCCUCGGUCGUAACCGACGUUUCA